UUGUGCAUUGAAUAAGAGCUUAGAGACUUUAAUGUGUUAUUUUGACAUUCCAAUCCUGUGCAUGAUUAGAGUGAGUAGACAAUACCAUAGAGAGCCUCAAGGCAACCAAUUGUCAUAAAAAUCUCAUCACUGUACCAGUAAAAAUGAAUGAUUGACAUGACUCUCAAUAAAAGUUGACAUCCAUAGCCGCCAACCUAGACCUAUCAUACCGGAUGCCCUAAUAGAAGCCAUCUCCGGUUGCCAAGAAAUCAGGUCUGUCCACCAGACGCAACUGCAGUUGUGUAAGUACUUCAACUGCUUAAUUCGCCACUAAGCAGUAAAAUUUAGUAUAUAUAUAGACUUGAGAGAGAGUGUGUGUUAUUAUUUCUAAGAAUUGCAGAUCAAGAUCAAAUGGCAGCAGAUCAUUUACAAUUUCUCAAGGACAGAUUCAUCCGUGAAUUCCAAGAAGCAGAGGACGAAUUCCGUGGUGAAUUUCCCCUCCUUCCUAAGUUCCAUGAUAUCCAGAAGUUUUUGCAAGAGAGGACUAUCAAGCCCUCGACGCCUAUUGUAAUGAAGAAUGGGCUGUAUGACCUGAUACACGAGUUGAAGGAGUGCAUCAUGUUAGCUGAGAAGGAGAGGGACAGCCAGAAGGAGAGGACCCAAAGAAUCCAGAACAUGAAAAGUAGUUUUCAUGUCCAUACAUACGAGAUUCAGACAAGGAUUAUGAUGACGAUGACGAAUGUGAAGAAGUGUUGGUUUAUUUAUACAACCGGAAAGAAACUGCUUCGAAUCCAACGUAACUUAGAAUUGGUGAAAGAUGAUGUUGCUGCUGCUGAAAUCUCUUUGCUAUCAGACUCUAUCAAAGUGUGGAAUCCUUCAUGGUUACGACGACAAGCUGCAGGCGAGAUUCAUGGGUUCGAUGACGAGUUGAGGAAGAUCAAAGCAUUGCUCCUCGAACAGGCUGACAAUGAUGGUAUUAAGACAAUUGGAAUUGUGGGAAUGAGUGGUGUUGGUAAAACCACUCUCGCCCGAAUGGUUGUCAAUGACCAAUACUGUUGUAGAUUGUUCUCACCCAUAAUUUGGGUCACACACUCUCAAAAUUUGAGUCCGUCAGAAUUUAUGAGGCAAUUGUUGGAAACUUUUUCUGCCAACGGCAAUGAUGCACAAAUUAUCAAUAUAAUUCCUGAUUCUCUCCCAGAGCAGCUCAUAGAAUUGCAGAAUAGGCUAUGCGGUAAAAAGUAUUUGAUUGUGCUAGACAACGUAUGGCACCAGAAUGAUUGGUAUUCUGAUCUGGGUUCUAGUCUGCGCACGGAUAUGAACCGUCUAUGCCACGGUUUGCCAAAGGGAGGUGGAGGGGUCGUAAUUGUCACUAGUGGACUCGAAGAAGUAGCAACAAGCAUGGUGGGUGAGAAUAACUUAUUCAGACUCCAGCCACUAUUCAAUCAAGAGGCACUGAUCUGGUCAAUGUUCAUGGAUUCAAUUCGACGAAAGGAAUUUUUAACUGAUGAUCAUUAUCAAAGGUUGGAAAGAAUGAAGGAUGAGAUUAUUCACAGGUGUGAUGGCCUGCCUUUAGCAGCAAAGACACUGGCAGAGAUUAUUUCGAUUCAAAUUGGCAAGAAAGAGUACUGGUCAAGUGUAGAUGUACUCAAGAAGUUUUGCUUAAGACUUGAUCACCUUGAUAAUAUUUUUCAUGAAGAAACCUUUACGAUAGUCAGGACUCUUCCAGGAGUUGAGGAUGUUAGUGCUGGUUCUGGUGCUGAUGAAAUAACAGUAACUGGACGGUGCCUUCCUGUAGACAUAGCAAGGGAGCUCGGAAAAUUGUGGCACACAGAGCUCAUCUCCGUAGAACAAAUUGAUUCAUUUUCAAAGAAGGAGAUCCGGCUUGUAUCAGGGGUCGGCAAUGAACUUGACAAACUCAAAGACACAGUUUCCACAAUUAGAGCCGUGCUUCUUGAUGCAGAGGAGCACAAAGCCACAAAUCAUGAGGUUGAAGACUGGCUCGAAAAGGCCAACGAUGCAUUUUAUGAUGCCGAUGACUUGCUCGACGACUUCUCCACUGAACUUCUCCGUCGCCAGGUUACGACUCAGAACAAAAGGCUAGAGAAGGUACGCAAUUUCUUGUCAUGCUCAAACCAGCUUGCAUACAGUAGUAAGAUGGCUCGUGAUAUUAAGGCCGUCAGGGAGAGACUAGAUGAGAUUGCAGAAGAUAGGAGAAAUUUUCACCUCACUGAACGGACUAUAGAGAAUACUAUAGUUCAGAGGGAGGAGACUGGCUCUUUUGUUCAGGCAGAAUCUGUUAUUGGGAGGGAUGGUGAUAAAAUGAAAGUUAUCCAACUUUUAUUGGACAGUAAUGUUCAUGAGAACAGUAAUGUUCAAGAUAAUGUGUCAGUUGUUGCAGUGGUUGGGAUGGGGGGGCUAGGAAAGACCACACUUGCACAACUAGUAUAUAAGGAUGAGAGGGUCACUAAACAUUUUGAGCUUAAGAUGUGGGUGUGUGUGUCUGAUGACUUUGAUGUGAAACUCAUUGUAGAAAAGAUCAUAGAGUCUGCAAGAUCCAAAAAGCUUGAAAAAGACCUUUCCAUGGAUAACUUGCAAGAAACCCUUAGGAAAGAAAUUGACAGAAAGAAAUUUUUGCUUGUGUUGGACGAUGUGUGGAAUCAGUACCGUGAAAGAUGGUUAAAACUAAGAGAUUUGUUGCAAGGUGGUUCAAAGGGAAGUAAGAUAUUAGUAACAACUCGUAGUGAAUUAGUUGCAAAUAUUACAAGUGCAGAUUCACCAUAUGUCUUAGAAGGCUUGUCUAAGGAAGAGUCGUGGUCUUUAUUUAAGCAAAUGGCAUUCAAACACGUGGAGGAGUCGGAGAAUCCAUUUCGAGUAACAAUAGGGAAGGAACUUGUACAGAAGUGUAAGGGGGUUCCUCUUGCCAUAAGAGCUAUAGGAAGCCUUCUAUACUAUAAAAAUACAGAGGCUGAAUGGAUGCUUUUCAAAAAUAAUGAUUUGUUGAAAAUAGCUCAAGCAGAGGAUGUUAUUUUGCCAAUACUAAAGCUAAGUUACAAUUACCUCCCUCCGGAUUUGAAAGGAUGCUUUGCAUUUUGUUCUUUAUAUUUGAAAGAUGAAGAAAUUUGUAAGGAAGAAUUAAUCCAAAUGUGGAUUGCAGAGGGAUUGGUUCAAUCAGUGUAUGAGAAUCAACAAUUGGAAGAUGCAGGUGAUUUGUAUUUUAUGAAUUUACUAAGGAGGUCAUUUUUUCAAGACGUCCAAAGAGAUAAAUGGGGUGAGAUAAAAAGUUGCAAAAUGCAUGAUCUUGUGCAUGACCUUGCUACAGACUGUGCAAGGCAUGAGUACUCCACUUUGAAUUCAGGUGCAGAAAGUAUUACCGAAAGAACCCGUCAUGUGUCAGUUGGUUUUCGUGUAGAUUCAGAAUGGGAAAUUCCAACACGGUUGGUCAAAGCUAAAAAGUUGAGAACAUUUAUUUUGAAGGAUCAAGAUUUAGAACAAACAGCUUUGAAAAGAAUUGUUUCAACUUAUAAAUGUUUACGUGUGCUGAAUCUGAAGGAUGGGCGAGGUUCCAGAAACAAGCUGAACACAGUGCCAAAUUGUAUAGCCGAGUUGAAACAUUUAAGGUAUCUUGAUCUUAGUGGCAGUAAUAUCAAGAUUCUUCCAAAUUCCAUAACCAAGUUGCAAAAUUUGCAGACUCUAAAACUCAAUGAAUGUACAGAUCUUGUAGAAUUGCCCAGAGAGAUUAAAAAAUUGGUGAACCUUAGGCAUCUUGAGCUUGACGGGUGCUUGGAAUUGACUGGCAUGCCAUGUGGAUUGGGUAAGUUGACGUCUCUUUUGACAUUAACAAGAUUUGAAGUGGACUCAUUCAGCGGGUUGAGUGAAUUACAAAGCCUAAACAAUUUAAGGGGAAAGUUAUGUAUCCGUAUACGUCGACGCGAGGACUCAAGUAGUAGCGGGUAUGUGAAAAAGGUAACAGCAGCAGCAGGGGGAAGAAUGCAGGGAACAAACUACUUGGAGGCCAAACAAUACCUGAAGAGGCUGGAAUUAGAAUUUGAUAGGGAUGAAGAAAAUGAGGCAUUGUUGGAAUCCCUACGUCCACACCGGAAUCUGAAGGAGCUGACAAUUGAGUACUAUGGGGGAGUGAGUUUCCCAAGUUGGAUGAUGGUUGAUAAAAUUGGCUUAUUCUCUUCAUUUCUCCCAAAUCUAGUCAGAAUUGAUAUGUUCGGGUGUGAGAGAUGCAAACAUCUUCCACUAUUUGGGCAACUUCCUUCUCUCCAAUUUCUGAGUCUUCGGCAUAUGUUUUCCUUGGAGUACAUGGAGGACAGGAGUAGUAGUGGGAGUGGUAGUGAGGAUUCUCUGUGCUCUUCAUCUUCAUCCAGUGGAGGAGCAGCACCAACACCAACAUUCUUCCCAUCCCUCAAAACACUUGAACUCUAUACAUUGCCUAAAUUGAAGGGAUGGUGGAGGAGCCAAGCAGAAGAAGAAGCAACAACAACUUUACAGGACCAACAACAACAACAUUUGAACAAGCUCCCAUCAUUUCCUUCUCUUUCCCAAUUAUCCAUCUUAGUUUGCCCUAAUCUGGCAUCAAUGCCUAUUCUGCAACCAUGUGUUGAACAACUAAAACUCUGGAACGUCAGCAAGAAGGUAGUAGAAGAAGAGUUAAAGAUGACAUUGGUGUCCCCAACCCCACCAACAGAUACACUCGCAACCUCUUCUUCAUCUUCUUCUUUGCUUUUUCCUCCUCUUUCCAAUUUAAAGUCUCUGGAUUUAUUUGUUAUUGACGAUCUAGUUACUCUCCCAGAGGAGUCGUUUCUAAGCCUCACUUCUCUCCAGAAUCUUGAAAUUCGUUCUUGUCGAAGACUAACCUCUCUGUCCGGUGUGCUGCGGCCUCUCACCGCCCUCCUUUCUUUGAGUAUUUGGGAUUGCGACGAGCUUGAUCUGUCAGAUGAUGACAACGGCAUGCAAUAUCUUAGGAACCUAACGGAUCUGUCUAUCCAAAGUAUUCCAAAGUUGGUAUCUCUUCCCGUGGGGCUUCAACAUCUUACCACGCUUCGAACUCUACGGAUUCACAACUGUCACAAUUUGAUGCCUUUACCGGAGUGGUUAGAUGGGCUCACUUCGUUACACGUUGUGCGGACGUGAUAAAUGAUAAAUGCCAGAGAGGAACAGGGGAAGAUUGGCCAAAGAUUGCUCACAUCCCAAAUGUUCAUAUUUCAGUGAAUUGGUGACAUACGAGGAAGAAAAGGGGCCAAGAUUCUGUUUAAUGGAGGUGAGUUGGUGACAUACAAGGAAAUGUCAAAGGUUCAAUUUGUACCAGUAAACAUCAAACUUGAUUGAUGCAAAUCAAAAUGCAGGUAUUUGUAAUUUUUGCCAGAAAUCACAUAUGAGUCAAGAAUGGGAAUGCUGUUUUGUGGAGCUCGAAUCUUCGAAGGAACAAUGGUGGGAGAAGAGCUGAGGGGUGGUGAAAGUCCUCCAUGUGGUCUGUGAUAGAGAAGCAUGUACUUGAGCUUACACGAGAUGCGAAACUUUUGAGAGAGGGCUCGGCAAAUCAACCAUCAAAAAUUACUGGAAGACCAGUAUGGUAGACAAUCUGGAAGUUUAUUUGGUGUAAAUAUUUCUCACUAUUGUUUAUUGGGGAACAAAAUUCUAAGAUAGAAAAUAGAUAGAAGUGAAACGUUUUUACAACUAUUCUGUAACCGUCUAUCGAACUUUGUCAUCAUGUUAUUAUAGGCUCAUAAUGCAAUGACCUCCCCAUUCAAGGUGCAAUCAUUAUAUUUCUUGAUUUUUGGUAGUA
This is an RNA transcript of Cornus florida, 5770 nucleotides long. It is a transcript of the gene named putative disease resistance protein RGA1, with no coding region annotated. The record is from RefSeq and is a predicted model, not a curated record. The transcript is spliced from 8 exons. Lineage: Eukaryota; Viridiplantae; Streptophyta; Magnoliopsida; Cornales; Cornaceae.